UUAUUUAAAAGUAUGUAGUGGAAAGCGUUGGCUUGCCCCUUUUAGCAACAUGGAAAAAAAAAACAAAACAGUAUAGUGAGGCAUCUGAUGCAGAGCAAUGAACCUGUAAGUAAAAGGAAAUCCUGCUCAAUGAAUAAUGAAGUGGAUGGCAUGAAGAUGAUGGCCAGGGGUGCUGGAGUCAAGGAUCUGCUUAAAAUAGUUCAUGUGGUCUGACUGAUAUCUCUUUUUGUGAAGAUCAUUUCAUAUUCUGACAGUGUACCUUGGAGCACUGCAGCCCCCCUCAGCUUGACAUCAUCUGUAUAUUUUGUUGCACAUGAAGAUGCAAGGAGAGACUGGAAAAAGCCAAUCCUAAAUCAAACAAGUUACAGUAUAUAGAUGUAAAGCGAUGACAGCCAGAGAGUAGGACCAGCCCAAGCUCCUUGUCACCCUCUCACCAAAAUGCAGAGUCCAGGAUCCUGUUCAUUUCCUCACUUGUCCCCACUUCAGCCCCAGCUGCUCCUGCUUCCAACUUUGUGGAAAGCGUAAAGAAGUGAGAUCUCUUCAGACAAGUUUUGGUGCUUAAAUAGAGCGAAGAUUGUACAUGACCAGAUUUUGUCUUACACUACUCAGAUUCAUCUGCCAUCACCACCGCAAAAUUGAAGGGAAAACAAGUACAGCUUUCUGCAUAUUUAAAUUCUUCUUAAAAGCAAACAUAAAUAUGUAAGGAAAAUAAUUCUGCUGCCAUUACACUGUUCUAAAUCAUGGAUAGAGUUUAUCAUUGGAAAGUAAAGCUGAGAGUGAAAAUUGCCUCUUCUUUAGUGGCAGAAAAGACGUCAUUCUAUCUUAUGAGAUAUCGUUUUUACAUGCAACGUGUAACAAAGCUUCCAGUGACAGUCUUCAUGCCACUAAAGAAAGUAUACAGAGCAUAGAAGUUGCCAGAAAACUGACUUUCUGAUGCUUCCAGUCAGUGUUACUGAAGGUAGAACACAUCAAAUUUUCUUCAGAAGUCCUGAGAACUAUUGGUCUCAGGAUUGGUACUAUUGGUAUAAAUGAGAUCAAAGAAAGGGAUUGUAUAGCACAGUUCAUCUGUCCCAUUCGUAGAUUCAUAUUGUUUAGUUGAAGUACAGAAGGAGAAAGAGAUUGCUUGAAGGACCAUACUGAGUGCCAGGACUGCUAUUUAGAUCACAAUUUGUACUGUUUAUAUCAGAACUGUGGUAUUUCUUCCAUAAUUUUGCUAAUUAUUCUACAGAUGCCACAACUGGGAGUUUGUUUAUAAUUCAAUACCUAAGCUUUCCUCUGAUUAAUUUUAUUCUUACUGCUAAUUCUUCGUUCUCUUCCCCCUUCCCUAGGGUUCAGACAAGGCUGAAUUUCCUCGUGGGCGAUUAGCAAACUGGUCCAUAAAAAUUAAAAUGACCCUGAGUGUUAAUCCUUCACUUAAAACACAUUAAAUUUGAAACUGGUAGGAGAAUUCAGGGUGCCUAAAUGUUUAGAAGUAUUGAAAUGGUGGGAGCUUAUCUGUAUAGAGGACAUUUUUGGCAUCACAGCACUGGCAGUCUCAGUGGAUAUGAUUCAGAUGAGGAAUAAUCUUGGAAGAAAUCAAGUAGAUCCAAGCUCUAAAAAUCUUUAGGACAUUUCAAACUAGUUUUCUCUUUUGAAAAAGUAUUCCCAUCAACCAGAAUCUAUUCUGUUGACCCUUUCCAUGUCUAAACCUAAUGAGCUAGAAGAAGAAAAAAACACCCGAAGUGCCAAACUGUAGGCAGACUUCUCUGACGAAAAGAUGCUGGAAGCUCCUGGAAGGCUCUUAGAGCCCUGCUGCAUUUCAACUGGAAGGCACUCAUGUCUUAGAGAAGGCCUAGUAUUUUUUUAUUUUUUUUUACCAGAGGGGUGCAAAAUCUGAGCAUUAAUGAGAUCUUUUAAUGGGGUAAAUCAGAGUAACAACUUCUAGUCCAUGGCUGCUGCUCUGUCUCUUGCACAGUCUGCAUGGGCUCUGCGGGGAAAUAAAAUCUUGCACAAGGUCUCACAGUGUCUGCUUUCUGUAUCUGCAGCAAAGCAGUAAAAGGUGGCUGUCUCCCUGAAGAUAGAGGCAGAUUGCUCUUCAUUGAGAAGCAGCACACAGAAUGAGCAAACCCUCUCCUCUUCUCAGUACCAUUAGCUACAUACCCCCCAGUAAGUAAUGUUAAUUUAUACAGGGCUGCCUAAUGAAAUCAGUGUUCAUGCAGUGAUCUUACGCUUUACAACUGCUGCUAAAGGCUAUUUGACCAUACUUUCCAGAGGUCAGUGCACAAAAUCAUAGCUGAAAGAAAAAGGCACUAGAGUAAUUUGCUCUGUCCAAUAAGGAUUGCGGUGACCUUCCUUUUAAGAGAGUUUUAACCUGGUUAUUGCUGAUAUGCUUUAAGUUAUCUUAAGAAAUGGUGUUUUUUACCUGUGAUUCAGGCAAAGAAUUCCAGCCUCUUUCUGCAAUGCUUUUUCCACUGCUACUAAGUGGUACUUAUUUUUCAACCAAGUUUAAACAAAUGGCUACUCCUUUACAGGAAAUAAAUAUACAGCAGUGACAAUAAAAAUUACCCACUGUCUGUGAUGAAGGGGGAUCAGAAAAAAUUGCUGCUGAGCUAACAGCACUCAACAGGAUCCCUGGCCUGAGCUAGGAGUGUAACCCAAACAGGAGUAGAUCAGCACCUACGUGCAGGUUGCAGUUUGGAUCGUGACCUGUGGAACAGGAUGCCUUUUUCCAAGGGAUCACAUAUUCACAAAUGAAUAUCAGGAAGGGUUAUUUGAUAGCCCCACAGGGCAAUUGCCAAGAAAGCUGAGACACAGAAUCACUAACUAAAUGCAUGGCAGUAACACAUCUGGGAUAAAUCCAAAUACUUCAUCUUAGUGAAGAUGUCUUUUUAUCCUUGCACAUCUGCUUUGAUAGUACUUUUGUGUCCGUACAGGCUUAGACAUCAGAAAUUUUGUGUCCCAAAGCCUAGUGAAAAAAAACCUUGUGCUUGAGUUGCUUAAUGUAUUUUUUGCUUAUCUUUAUGGUUUGUAGCCAUCAAGUUACUGUGUCCUUAGGAAAGUUAUGUCUUGACUGCUAGGAACUUGCCAGAUGCAGGUGUGAUCUGUUGCUUCAUAACUGACGAAAUCUCAUAAGUUAAUGAAAUUUUGGCAAACAGUGCAGCAUUGGCUGAAUAAUCCAUUGUGUCAUGUCAGUCUGUUCCUACAGCCUAUUGCAGGGUUUCAACCAGCUACCUUGUUUUGCAUACCUCAUUUCUAGAUGGGUAAAAUCACCUCAUCUGAGAGUUUUUUUUUUAAUGGUGCUGCCUGUACAACAUUUAUAUUACUUGUAUGUACUCUGUGGAUAGGAACUAACACAUCUGAGUCCUAAAAACAGCCCCACUGGGAGGUGGGAGGAAAAUCAAAUUUUCAAAUGAUGCAUAACAUUAUGAGAAAUAGGAGUCACUAUGUAACAGAAAUAUAUUUUCCUCAGACAGAGACUAUUAUUAAUGUGUCUAAGGGAAGUAAACACAUGCCCCAGAUUUCCUAGUUUAGAUGCAUUUAUAUUUUCUUAAAUAUUCUUCAUGUAUUUAAAUCAGUUUGAGAUGUGAGCUAAGUAUUUUAUAAAGGAUAUGUUGGUCAAAAAUGUUGAAGUUAAUGUCGCUGGAUAGUUUCCAUCCUCAAAUCUCUCUUCAUUCAAACUUCAGUUUCUCUUAAAGUCAUUUUAGACUACUGAUGGCAUCCUUUUUUAUUAUUAUUAUUUCUUACAUUUUUGAGAAAUGAAAGACAAUACCUCUUCAUGUAUUUUUUUUUCUUUUGUCCUUUUUUUUAAUCAACAUAUAUUACAGGUAUAUUUAUAUAUCUGUGUUUUGGCAGUAUUUGGGAACAAAAAAGACCUGGGAAAGAAAAUAG
This is a long non-coding RNA of Lagopus muta (rock ptarmigan), 3867 nucleotides long. RefSeq lists it as uncharacterized. The record is from RefSeq and is a predicted model, not a curated record. The transcript has 4 exons. Lineage: Eukaryota; Metazoa; Chordata; Aves; Galliformes; Phasianidae.